RNAcentral lists this non-coding RNA (26 nucleotides) under Homo sapiens (human). The record is from RNAcentral. Lineage: Eukaryota; Metazoa; Chordata; Mammalia; Primates; Hominidae.
UGGAAAUGUUUGAGGGUGAGAGUGUC